RNAcentral lists this ribosomal RNA (404 nucleotides) under Fusobacteriota bacterium. RNAcentral describes it as "Fusobacteria bacterium partial 16S ribosomal RNA". It matches the Rfam family "Bacterial small subunit ribosomal RNA", at positions 355 to 776 of the family's 1533-position model. The record is from RNAcentral. Lineage: Bacteria; Fusobacteriati; Fusobacteriota.
UGGGGAAUAUUGCACAAUGGAGGGAACUCUGAUGCAGCGACGCCGCGUGAGUGAUGAAGGAAUUCGUUUCGUAAAACUCUGUUCUAUGGGAAGAAAAGGACUGUACCAUAGGAGAAAGCUCCGGCUAAAUACGUGCCAGCAGCCGCGGUAAUACGUAUGGAGCGAGCGUUGUCCGGAUUUAUUGGGUUUAAAGGGUGCGUAGGUUGUUCGGUAAGUCAGCGGUGAAACCUGAGCGCUCAACGUUCAGCCUGCCGUUGAAACUGCCGGGCUUGAGUUCAGUGGCGGCAGGCGGAAUUCGUGGUGUAGCGGUGAAAUGCAUAGAUAUCACGAGGAACUCCGAUUGCGAAGGCAGCUUGCCAUACUGCGACUGACACUGAAGCACGAAGGCGUGGGUAUCAAACAGG